GGGCCCGUAGCUCAAUUGGUUAGAGUAGAGCGCUCAUAACGCUUUGGUUGGGGGUUCAAGUUGUCCGUCGUCCU
RNAcentral lists this transfer RNA (74 nucleotides) under Rhodobacteraceae bacterium HIMB11. It matches the Rfam family "tRNA", at positions 1 to 61 of the family's 71-position model. From Rfam's summary of the family: Transfer RNA (tRNA) molecules are approximately 80 nucleotides in length. Their secondary structure includes four short double-helical elements and three loops (D, anti-codon, and T loops). Lineage: Bacteria; Pseudomonadati; Pseudomonadota; Alphaproteobacteria; Rhodobacterales; Paracoccaceae. The record is from Rfam by way of RNAcentral.